UACGGAGGAUGCGAGCGUUAUCCGGAUUUAUUGGGUUUAAAGGGAGCGUAGACGGGAUGUUAAGUCAGCUGUGAAAGUUUGGGGCUCAACCUUAAAAUUGCAGUUGAAACUGGCAUUCUUGAGUGCGGCAGAGGCAGGCGGAAUUCGUGGUGUAGCGGUGAAAUGCUUAGAUAUCACGAAGAACUCCGAUUGCGAAGGCAGCUUGCUGGAGCGUAACUGACGUUGAUGCUCGAAAGUGUGGGGAGCAAACAGG
This 253-nucleotide ribosomal RNA is filed under the name uncultured bacterium. RNAcentral describes it as "partial 16S ribosomal RNA". It matches the Rfam family "Bacterial small subunit ribosomal RNA", at positions 524 to 776 of the family's 1533-position model. The record is from RNAcentral.